This 113-nucleotide ribosomal RNA is filed under the name uncultured eukaryote. RNAcentral describes it as "partial small subunit ribosomal RNA". The record is from RNAcentral.
UCGCUUCUACCGAUGAAUGAUCCGGUGAACACUCUGGACUCGUAGUUUCAUAUGGGGCAACCCUUAGAGACCAACGAGGAAGUUGUGUAAACCUUAUCAUUUAGAGGAAGAAG